GGUUUGAUUCGACUUACUACCUUAAAGGGGGUUUAAUGCUGUUGCCUUUUGUUUCCCAUUUCAAAAAUUUAUUACAUUUGGUGCUGUUAUUUUUUCAAUAUCUUAUGUAGAUGCACCCUAAUUCUUGUCUUAGGGACAAAGUUUCACCUGGGGGCACCGGUUUGAGAGCUCAAAGCCGCUGGUUUUGUUUGUUCACCUUGUUUCUUAUUUUUGUUACUUGCUCAAUAUCGUUUUGUUUGUUCACCUUGUUUCUUAUUUUUGUUACUUGCACAAUAUCGUUUCUGUGGUUUUUCCGUUGGUGUCUUGUGCCGACUUGCAUAAUGCAGAGACUUGUUUUAGUCCUCAUUAUGCAAGUCUAUGAGGAUUUUGAGCAGUCCUACACUUACCUUGUUU
Molecule: long non-coding RNA, 393 nt
Filed under: Prunus persica (peach)
Lineage: Eukaryota; Viridiplantae; Streptophyta; Magnoliopsida; Rosales; Rosaceae
Description: long non-coding RNA (PPER_LNC001414)
Source: RNAcentral